RNAcentral lists this ribosomal RNA (497 nucleotides) under uncultured bacterium. RNAcentral's name for it is "partial 16S ribosomal RNA". It matches the Rfam family "Bacterial small subunit ribosomal RNA", at positions 29 to 507 of the family's 1533-position model. The record is from RNAcentral.
AGUGAACGCUGGCGGUAUGCCUAAUACAUGCAAGUCGAACGGCAGCACAGUAAGAUCUUGCUCUUACUGUUGGCGGCUGGCGGACGGGUGAGGAGUACAUCGCAAUCUACUUUUUCGUGGGUGAUAACGUGGAGAAACUUACGCUAAUACAGCAUAUUUCCUACGGCAUAAAGCAAAGGAGCAUCACACUCUUCGUGAUUCUAUUAGACGAUUCCGCGCUGCAUUAUCUGGUUGGUAAGGUAACGGCAUAGCAAGGCAACGAUGCAUAUCCGACCUGAGGAGGUGGUCGGCCACAACGGAACUGAGACAAGGUCCAGACUCCUACGGGAGGCAGCAGUAGGGAAUCUUCGGCAAUGGGCGGAAGCCUGACGGAGCCACGCCGCGUGAGUGAUGGAGGGCUUCGGAUUGUAAAACUCUGUUAUUAGGGAAGAACAAAUGUGUAAGUAACUGUGCACAUUUUGGCGGUAACUAAUAAGAAAGCCACGGCUAACUUCGUG